UUCGCGACACCAGAAGCCGAAAAGCAAAACGAGAUUUCCUCUUCCUCGUUCUAUUCUCUGCGAGCGCGUCGCUGCUCCUGCCUUCGUAUCAUCAACGAUGUAAUCGACUACGUAUAAAAAACCACCACUUCCCCUCUCUCCUUCGCUCGCCUGCCUUCUCCGUCCUCGAAUCGCAGUCGUGCCAGGUGAAAGUUCCAAGCUUUCUUCUCCCGAUCAUCAGUGGAAUUGAUGCGCGAGCGGGGGAGAGAGGAAGAGAGCGAUUCGAGCAGAGACCGUUCGGUUUCCGCGCGCGGGUCGGAACGGACGACGGUGGAAGAUCGAAUGUAUUUGGCGGCGGAUCACAGCAACCGAGCACGAGGCCGCGAUGGACUUUGAUCGCAGAGAAGAUACUCGAAGGAAUUUCGCGGCAUUAUCUAGAAGUUAUUCCAGCAAUGGAAUCCUUUACAACCUUCAGGAUAAAAGCAACGCACUCUCCGGGUUAUCCAAGCUUAAGGAUGGAACUAGCGGUCAGUCUGAUGGGGAUGUUGCGAAGAAAGUUUUGUCAAUUAGUAGAGGUGAACAUCCCAAUGGACCUAAUUAUCCUCUCUACUAUGGCUGGCGGUAUCCCUACUCUCAUCAGAUGCAGCCGUACCAAAUGAAUUCUUUUGAGGGUCAAUUUUUCUCUUUCCACGGGGGAAACGGCUUUCAUGGUUAUCGGCCAGAUAUGCUCUCUCAAGGUUACCUCCCCGAGUGCCAGUUCCAAGACUUUCAGUAUUUUGUAGUCAUAGACUUUGAGGCAACCUGUGACAAGGAAAAGAAUCCCCAUCCUCAAGAGAUAAUUGAAUUCCCAUCUGUUAUAGUGAGUAGCAUGACUGGCAAAUUGGAAGCAUGCUUCCAAACCUAUGUUCGACCAACAUGCAAUCAGCAUCUGAGUGACUUUUGCAAAGAUUUGACUGGUAUCCAGCAAUCUCAGGUAGAUCGAGGUGUUACUCUGAGUGAGGCUCUUCUUAGUCAUGACAAAUGGCUUGAAAAGAAGGGCAUAAAGAACACAAAUUUUGCUGUUGUUACCUGGUCCAACUGGGAUUGCCGGGUGAUGUUGGAAUCCGAGUGUCGAUAUAAGAAAAUUCGAAAGCCUUCUUACUUCAACAGAUGGAUUAACCUAAAAGUCCCAUUCCAAGAAGUUUUCGGAGGUCUAAGAUGUAAUCUUAAGGAGGCGGUUGAGAUGGCUGGCUUGACCUGGCUCGGGCGUGCUCAUUGUGGUUUAGAUGAUGCAAAAAACACAGCUCGCUUGCUUAUGGUUCUUUUGUGCAGGGGAAUCAAAUUUUCCAUCACCAACUCUCUGACAUUGUAUGACAAUGACCAUGCUCUGAUAUCACAGCACUCGCCUCCCCAUCAGCCACACACACAGAAGGAUUUGCGGGGUCCUCAAUCACAGUAUAAUCCUUAUUGUUUCUGUGGCAUCAAGAGCAGCGUAGGCUUUGUUCGGAACCCAGGUACAAAGCAAGGGAACUUCUUCUUUUGGUGUGGCAAUUCAGCUGCUGCGAGAGGUGGCGGAUGCCGUUAUUUUCAGUGGGCGGCUUCUUGAUUGGAUGUAACUUUCCUGGUUGACAUCUUCAACUUUCUUAGGUGCUCCCUAUCACAUUAGGUAGGAACCGUUAUUUUCAGUGGGCGGCUUCUUGAUUGGAUGUAACUUUCCUGGUUGACAUCUUCAACUUUCUUAGGUGCUCCCUAUCACAUUAGGAGUUGGUACAGCUGAUACGAUUUUUUGGUAACGAGCAUGAUGAAGAAUGGAAAUCUAUUGCUGCCGGUCCUCUUGGCUCCUGUUACGUUGCUUGGUAGGCAUCUAUAGCUAAGGGAUUUUUAAAUCAAGAUCUGUCGGAUACAUCUUCACUUUGAAUGUGCCAAUGAAGGCCUCCAUAAUAACCGACGCAUCAAUAACAACAGAUCACAUCAAAUCUGAAGACACCAAGCUUUCGCACCAAACUAAAUUGUAAUAGGCGGCUGUAAACUGUCCAAAUUAAUUUCUCUUUCCUGCAUUGUUUGUAGCAGCCGCAGUCAAGGGGGAAGACGGUUGCUUGUCCCAGUUGUGUUUGCACUGCGCAGAUUACAGUACUUACCAGCCACCUUUGGCAAACAGAUCACUUAAUGAUAGCAAGACUAGAAAUGAA
RNA transcript from Eucalyptus grandis, 2147 nucleotides. It is a transcript of the gene named 3'-5' exoribonuclease 1, with no coding region annotated. The transcript has 6 exons. NCBI's taxonomy places the organism in Eukaryota, Viridiplantae, Streptophyta, Magnoliopsida, Myrtales, Myrtaceae. The record is from RefSeq and is a predicted model, not a curated record.